Molecule: long non-coding RNA, 618 nt
Organism: Branchiostoma floridae (Florida lancelet)
Lineage: Eukaryota; Metazoa; Chordata; Leptocardii; Amphioxiformes; Branchiostomatidae
Exons: 2
Source: RefSeq, a predicted model, not a curated record
CUGCAGGGCUGAGGAGGAUGGGGAGACCAUCAUGAAGACCAUGUCUGACUGCUGGGUGGUGGGGAAGAAGUCUGACCAGCGGGAGUUCUAUGUGGUCCUCAACCAGAAGAAUGCCAACCUGAUUGAGAUUAAUGAGGAAGUGAAGAAACUCUGUGCAACAAACUUCAACAACAUCUUCUUCCUGGACUAGAAGCACCAAUAUAAGGGCUUUAGGUGAAUCUAUUAGCAGUAUCAAACUAUAUUUACUAGCCGUAUCUAAUAGGAAUACAUGUACAAUGAUCAUACAAUCAUUUCAUUGUUUUUAUUUGUAAAUACAUUAGAAACUCAGCUAGACAGUGGACAGAAGUGCAAAAUGGUAUAGAAGUCAAUGCUGCACUUCUUAUUUUUCAGGUAAAUAAUGUUAUACUGCAUUGAUUAUAUGAUUAGUUGAGUUGUACUUGUACAGUGUCAUGAAAAUCUUUUAGUUGACGUCAUAUAGUUAACAAGCAAGAGUAUGUAAAAGUAUCUGUAACAAUUCUUUGUAAAGAUAUUAAAUUGAUGCUGACUCUGCAUUGUAAACAAUUCAACUGUGGAAGAAAUUCAUGUACAUGGAUCCGUGUUACAAAAUAAAUUGUCAUA